This 193-nucleotide ribosomal RNA is filed under the name uncultured bacterium. Its description in RNAcentral is "partial 16S ribosomal RNA". It matches the Rfam family "Bacterial small subunit ribosomal RNA", at positions 338 to 524 of the family's 1533-position model. The record is from RNAcentral.
CCUACGGGAGGCAGCAGUGGGGAAUAUUGCACAAUGGGCGCAAGCCUGAUGCAGCCAUGCCGCGUGUAUGAAGAAGGCCUUCGGGUUGUAAAGUACUUUCAGCGGGAGGAAGGGAUGGCGUUUAAUACGCGCCGUCAUUGACGUUACCCGCAGAAGAAGCACCGGCUAACUCCGUGCCAGCAGCCGCGGUAAU